This 24-nucleotide non-coding RNA is filed under the name Arabidopsis thaliana (thale cress). Lineage: Eukaryota; Viridiplantae; Streptophyta; Magnoliopsida; Brassicales; Brassicaceae. The record is from RNAcentral.
UCCAAUGGUGAUCUCUAUAUUUUC